AUCACGCGAGUUCCCGGCUCCGCCACCAGCUCUCGGCCCCGGAAUCCCGCACUCUCUCAGUGACCCGGAAGUAUCGACCUCAAAGGGCCGCAGUUUCCAGGAGCUCCGUUUUUUUGCCGAGAUGUCUGCGGCUGGGCAAUGCUAAGGCGGGAGACCUGACGUGCCAACCCCGCCCCUCACAAGCAGCCGCGCACGGAUGUAAUGGCCCCCACCCAUCGGCCAAGGAAGGGGAAGCGGAAAGAGCGCGUUAUGGCGUGGGAAGACUACAGCGUAACUGGGCACGUCCCCCUCCUAGAAAUGUUGGGGAAGCAAAAGCCUUUGCUGCUCCAGGAUUGGAAGGAUCCUCGAUACCAGGUCGCUGGAUUGAGGGCUCCGCACGGACACAGAAAUCUCAAAAAUGAUACAGCGAGCCCACCACCCUCCUGAUACAACUAAGACCCAAGCUAUGGGGGAAGAACUUCACCUUAGAAAGGGAAAUAAAAUGCCCAGGCUUCAUCAGAGCGCUGGGAUUGGUAGGGGAAGGGCGCUAGGAAACAAAUGGCUUGAGAGGAUUCACAACUCAGUAUCCAAAGACCAAGUCGUGACAGCGUCUUUCCAGUCUCUUUUUUUGCUGCAGUUCAUGAAGUGACACACUAUGGCUUCCCCAAAGCACCGUUACUUCAGUUAAUUCAAAACAAAAUGUACGUGUUUCUUGAUGAAAUUCUUCCUUCUCAUCUCUUAUAAGAACUUCGAGUUUGAAUCUAGAACAAUAUUUUGCCUAUUAUUCAGCUUAAAUCAUUCCCUUACCUUGAGCAAACUGGACAGUCUACACAAAUCCUUUAAUAAAGUACAGAUGACUUGUCUGCUCUA
Hipposideros armiger (great roundleaf bat) is the source of this 849-nucleotide long non-coding RNA. RefSeq lists it as uncharacterized. NCBI's taxonomy places the organism in Eukaryota, Metazoa, Chordata, Mammalia, Chiroptera, Hipposideridae. The transcript is spliced from 2 exons. The record is from RefSeq and is a predicted model, not a curated record.